GACGAACGCUGGCGGCGUGCUUAACACAUGCAAGUCGAACGCUGAAGCUUGGUGCUUGCACUGGGUGGAUGAGUGGCGAACGGGUGAGUAAUACGUGAGUAACCUGCCCUUGACUCUGGGAUAAGCCUGGGAAACUGGGUCUAAUACUGGAUACGACAUGUCACCGCAUGGUGGUGUGUGGAAAGGGUUUUACUGGUUUUGGAUGGGCUCACGGCCUAUCAGCUUGUUGGUGGGGUAAUGGCUCACCAAGGCGACGACGGGUGGCCGCCCGGAGGGGGUGACCGGCCCCAGAGGCCUAGGGGAAGGGCCCGGACGCAAACGGGGGGAAGGGGGGGGAAAUUUACGCAACAGGGCGAAGGCGUGGAGGAGGGGCCCCGGGUGGGGGAAGGCGGCUUUGGGGGUAGAACCCUUUUUUAAGAAGGAAGGAGCGAAAGGAAGGGAACGGACAAGAAAACCCCGGCUAACUACGUG
This 471-nucleotide ribosomal RNA is filed under the name uncultured bacterium. RNAcentral's name for it is "partial 16S ribosomal RNA". It matches the Rfam family "Bacterial small subunit ribosomal RNA", at positions 28 to 507 of the family's 1533-position model. The record is from RNAcentral.